RNAcentral lists this unclassified non-coding RNA (334 nucleotides) under soil metagenome. RNAcentral describes it as "partial contains 5.8S ribosomal RNA, internal transcribed spacer 2, and large subunit ribosomal RNA". The stretch from base 1 to 120 matches the Rfam family "5.8S ribosomal RNA", at positions 35 to 154 of the family's 154-position model. The record is from RNAcentral.
GAUGAAGAACGUAGCGAAAUGCGAUACGUAAUGUAAAUUGCAGAAUUCAGUGAAUCAUCGAAUCUUUGAACGCACAUUGCGCCUGCCAGCACUCUGGCAGGCAUGCCUGUUCGAGCGUCAUUUCAACCAUCAAGCCCUAGGCUUGCGUUGGAGCCCUGCGGCUGCCGCAGGCCCCUAAAAGCAGUGGCGGGCUCGCUAUCACACCGAGUGCAGUAGAUUACUCUUCGCUCAGGGCGUGUGGCGGGUUCCAGCCGUGAAACCCCCUACUUCUCAAGGUUGACCUCGGAUCAGGUAGGAAUACCCGCUGAACUUAAGCAUAUCAAUAAGCGGAGGA